RNAcentral lists this ribosomal RNA (500 nucleotides) under uncultured Glomeromycotina. RNAcentral describes it as "partial small subunit ribosomal RNA". It matches the Rfam family "Eukaryotic small subunit ribosomal RNA", at positions 591 to 1092 of the family's 1831-position model. The record is from RNAcentral. Lineage: Eukaryota; Fungi; Glomeromycota.
CCAAUAGCGUAUAUUAAAGUUGUUGCAGUUAAAAAGCUCGUAGUUGAAUUUUAGGCCUGACCGGGCGGUCCGUCUUUGGCGAGUACUGUCCUGUGUCGGGUCCACCUUCUGGUGAACCAGUAUGUCCUUUAUUGGGUGUGCCGGGGAGCCAGGACCAUUACCUUGAAAAAAUUAGAGUGUUUAAAGCAGGCAUUUGCUUGAAUAGAUUAGCAUGGAAUAAUAGAAUAGGACGUUGUGGUUCUAUUUUGUUGGUUUCUAGGACCACCGUAAUGAUUAAUAGGGAUAGUUGGGGGCAUUAGUAUUCAAUUGUCUGAGGUGAAAUUCUUGGAUUUAUUGAAGACUAACUACUGCGAAAGCAUUUGCCAAGGAUGUUUUCAUUAAUCAAGAACGAAAGUUAGGGGAUCGAAGACGAUCAGAUACCGUCGUAGUCUUAACCAUAAACUAUGCCGACUAGGGAUCGGAUGAUGUUAAUUUUAUAAUGACUCAUUCGGCACCUUACG